This 465-nucleotide ribosomal RNA is filed under the name uncultured bacterium. RNAcentral's name for it is "partial 16S ribosomal RNA". It matches the Rfam family "Bacterial small subunit ribosomal RNA", at positions 29 to 507 of the family's 1533-position model. The record is from RNAcentral.
AAUCAACGCUGGCGGCGUGCCUCACACAUGCAAGUCGAACGAUUAAACUUCCCUUCGGGGGAGUUAUAAAGUGGCGCACGGGUGAGUAACACGUAGGUAAUGUACCCUUGGGUGGGGGAUAACUUAGGGAAACUUAAGCUAAUACCGCAUAGUGCAGCGGCUCCUUCGGGGGGCGGUUGUUAGAGAUGUAUGGGCUAAAGAGCAGCCUGCGGCAGAUUAGUGAGUGGGUAAGGUAGCGGCAUACCAAGGCUGGGAUCUGUAUCCGAGGGGAGAGGGGGGUCGGACAGGCUGGCGCUGAGGACCGGGUCAGAAUCGGAGGGGGGGGAGGAGUCGGGAGUUUUGGGGGAGGGGGGAAGGCGUGACACAGCAGCGCCGCGUGAAGGAUGAAGUCUGUCGGGAUGUAAACUUCGUAAGAAUAGGAAGAAUAUAUGACGGUACUAUUUGUAAGGACCGGCUAACUACGUG